This is a regulatory RNA element of Pannonibacter phragmitetus, 52 nucleotides long. It matches the Rfam family "Xanthine riboswitch aptamer (NMT1 RNA)". Rfam says of the family: Later it was reported as a ncRNA that recognised Xanthine. The record is from Rfam. Lineage: Bacteria; Pseudomonadati; Pseudomonadota; Alphaproteobacteria; Hyphomicrobiales; Stappiaceae.
CCCCGGAGUAGAAGCUGUCAACGCCAUCCCGGCGUGGGUCAUUGCUCCUCAA